This 77-nucleotide transfer RNA is filed under the name Sphaerodactylus townsendi. RNAcentral's name for it is "tRNA-Ala". It matches the Rfam family "tRNA". Rfam says of the family: Transfer RNA (tRNA) molecules are approximately 80 nucleotides in length. Lineage: Eukaryota; Metazoa; Chordata; Lepidosauria; Squamata; Sphaerodactylidae. The record is from RNAcentral.
GGGGAUGGGCUCUGGCUCACCAGUAGAGCGUCUGCUUGGCAUGCAGAAGUUCCCAGGUUCAAUACCUGGCAUCUCCA